GUUCAAAGAACUACAGGUGCAGGACUUACACGAGUGAACUUUGUCGGCUACUGAGCAUUCGCUGUUACUUGGCAUUCAUAAUAUAUUUCUUAUUUAAAAGGAUAACGAACUAGCCACGUUACAUGGUGCUCGAGCAUUUAAGAGUUUUGUGGACAAAAAAGGAAGUCGAAAACCAGAAUUCCUCUCUGUGGUGGAAAAGUUUCAAGAAGAAGAUAGAAGUAUUGACACUCGAACUACGUUACCAUCUGUUACUGUUGCAACAGGUUCUACAAGUCCAGCACGACUUUAUUAAUGAAUUCAUGCAUAUAUUGUACAUAAUCAUGUAAAUAUUAUUUAAUAAAAAUACAAUACGUGCUUUGCAUGAUUCCAGCUG
Non-coding RNA from Paramuricea clavata, 373 nucleotides. The record is from the annotation of a GenBank genome assembly. Lineage: Eukaryota; Metazoa; Cnidaria; Anthozoa; Malacalcyonacea; Plexauridae.